UUCAUGGAGAGUUUGAUCCUGGCUCAGGACGAACGCUGGCGGCGUGCCUAAUACAUGCAAGUCGAGCGGACCGAUGGGAGCUUGCUCCCUUAGGUCAGCGGCGGACGGGUGAGUAACACGUGGGUAACCUGCCUGUAAGACUGGGAUAACUCCGGGAAACCGGGGCUAAUACCGGAUGCUUGAUUGAACCGCAUGGUUCAAUCAUAAAAGGUGGCUUUUAGCUACCACUUACAGAUGGACCCGCGGCGCAUUAGCUAGUUGGUGAGGUAACGCGCAACCAAGGCUACGUAGCGUAGUCGAUUGUGUAGUGGGCGUGCAGACACGGGGACGUAUAGAGGGUCACGU
Molecule: ribosomal RNA, 345 nt
Filed under: Bacillus licheniformis
Lineage: Bacteria; Bacillati; Bacillota; Bacilli; Caryophanales; Bacillaceae
Description: bacterial SSU rRNA
Rfam family: Bacterial small subunit ribosomal RNA
Source: RNAcentral